Molecule: ribosomal RNA, 227 nt
Filed under: uncultured Lactobacillus sp.
Lineage: Bacteria; Bacillati; Bacillota; Bacilli; Lactobacillales; Lactobacillaceae
Description: partial 16S ribosomal RNA
Rfam family: Bacterial small subunit ribosomal RNA
Source: RNAcentral
GAUCGGGAUAACAACCUGGAAACAGAUGCUAAUACCGGAUAACAACAGAUGAUGCCUAUCAACUGUUUAAAAGAUGGUUCUGCUAUCACUCUUGGAUGGACCUGCGGUGCAUUAGCUAGUUGGUAGGGUAACGGCCUACCAAGGCGAUGAUGCAUAGCCGAGUUGAGAGACUGAUCGGCCACAUUGGGACUGAGACACGGCCCAAACUCCUACGGGAGGCAGCAGUA